RNAcentral lists this ribosomal RNA (637 nucleotides) under uncultured bacterium. RNAcentral describes it as "bacterial SSU rRNA". It matches the Rfam family "Bacterial small subunit ribosomal RNA", at positions 202 to 842 of the family's 1533-position model. The record is from RNAcentral.
UAAAGAUUCAUCGCUGAUAGAUAGGCAUGCGUUCCAUUAGGCAGUUGGCGGGGUAACGGCCCACCAAACCGACGAUGGAUAGGGGUUCUGAGAGGAAGGUCCCCCACAUUGGUACUGAGACACGGACCAAACUCCUACGGGAGGCAGCAGUGAGGAAUAUUGGUCAAUGGGCGUAAGCCCGAACCAGCCAAGUCGCGUGAGGGAUGAAGGUUCUAUGGAUCGUAAACCUCUUUUAUAAGGGAAUAAAGUGCGGGACGUGUCCCGUUUUGUAUGUACCUUAUGAAUAAGGAUCGGCUAACUCCGUGCCAGCAGCCGCGGUAAUACGGAGGAUCCGAGCGUUAUCCGGAUUUAUUGGGUUUAAAGGGUGCGUAGGCGGCCUUUUAAGUCAGCGGUGAAAGUCUGUGGCUCAACCAUAGAAUUGCCGUUGAAACUGGGAGGCUUGAGUAUGUUUGAGGCAGGCGGAAUGCGUGGUGUAGCGGUGAAAUGCUUAGAUAUCACGCAGAACCCCGAUUGCGAAGGCAGCCUGCCAAGCCAUGACUGACGCUGGUGCACGAAAGCGUGGGGAUCAAACAGGAUUAGAUACCCUGGUAGUCCACGCAGUAAACGAUGAUCACUAGCUGUUUGCGAUACACAGUAA